RNAcentral lists this small RNA (52 nucleotides) under Palleronia abyssalis. RNAcentral's name for it is "ffh sRNA". It matches the Rfam family "ffh sRNA". The record is from Rfam by way of RNAcentral. Lineage: Bacteria; Pseudomonadati; Pseudomonadota; Alphaproteobacteria; Rhodobacterales; Roseobacteraceae.
UGCCGUCGGGAUCGCCCCCCGCCAGCGAGUUUCGCCCGCGGGGGCGCUUGCC